RNAcentral lists this transfer RNA (75 nucleotides) under Candidatus Nanoarchaeia archaeon. RNAcentral describes it as "tRNA-His". It matches the Rfam family "tRNA". From Rfam's summary of the family: Transfer RNA (tRNA) molecules are approximately 80 nucleotides in length. Their secondary structure includes four short double-helical elements and three loops (D, anti-codon, and T loops). Further hydrogen bonds mediate the characteristic L-shaped molecular structure. tRNAs have two regions of fundamental functional importance: the anti-codon, which is responsible for specific mRNA codon recognition, and the 3' end, to which the tRNAs corresponding amino acid is attached (by aminoacyl-tRNA synthetases). tRNAs cope with the degeneracy of the genetic code in two manners: having more than one tRNA (with a specific anti-codon) for a particular amino acid; and 'wobble' base-pairing, i.e. permitting non-standard base-pairing at the 3rd anti-codon position. The record is from RNAcentral. Lineage: Archaea; Nanobdellati; Nanobdellota; Candidatus Nanoarchaeia. RNAcentral also lists the same sequence under 2 other names.
GGGAAGUUAGCUCAAUGGUAGAGCGGCAGUUUGUGGAACUGCAUGUUACGGGUUCAACUCCCGUACUUCCCCCCA